CGGACGGGUGAGUAACGCGUGGGUAACCUGCCUCAUACAGGGGGAUAACGGUUAGAAAUGACUGCUAAUACCGCAUAAGCGCACAGUACCGCAUGGUACGGUGUAAAAAACUCCGGUGGUAUGAGAUGGACCCGCGUCUGAUUAGCUAGUUGGUGGGGUAACGGCCCACCAAGGCGACGAUCAGUAGCCGACCUGAGAGGGUGACCGGCCACAUUGGGACUGAGACACGGCCCAG
This 235-nucleotide ribosomal RNA is filed under the name uncultured bacterium. Its description in RNAcentral is "partial 16S ribosomal RNA". It matches the Rfam family "Bacterial small subunit ribosomal RNA", at positions 99 to 334 of the family's 1533-position model. The record is from RNAcentral.